This 344-nucleotide ribosomal RNA is filed under the name uncultured bacterium. Its description in RNAcentral is "bacterial SSU rRNA". It matches the Rfam family "Bacterial small subunit ribosomal RNA", at positions 917 to 1263 of the family's 1533-position model. The record is from RNAcentral.
GGGCCCGCACAAGCGGUGGAGCAUGUGGUUUAAUUCGACGCAACGCGAAGAACCUUACCUGGUCUUGACAUCCUGCGAACUUUCUAGAGAUAGAUUGGUGCCUUCGGGAACGCAGUGACAGGUGCUGCAUGGCUGUCGUCAGCUCGUGUCGUGAGAUGUUGGGUUAAGUCCCGUAACGAGCGCAACCCUUGUCCUUAUUUGCCAUCAUUUAGUUGGGCACUCUAGGGAGACUGCCGGUGACAAACCGGAGGAAGUGGGGGACGACGUCAAGUCAUCAUGGCCCUUACGACCAGGGCUACACACGUGCUACAAUGGGCGUACAAAGGGUUGCAAUCCCGCGAGGG